ACUGCAUUUUGAGCACUUGUAGC
This 23-nucleotide microRNA is filed under the name Petromyzon marinus (sea lamprey). RNAcentral's name for it is "pma-miR-20a-3p". Its record names the gene pma-miR-20a-3p. The record is from miRBase by way of RNAcentral. Lineage: Eukaryota; Metazoa; Chordata; Hyperoartia; Petromyzontiformes; Petromyzontidae.